GAAAUGCGAUAAGUAAUGUGAAUUGCAGAAUUCAGUGAAUCAUCGAAUCUUUGAACGCACAUUGCGCCCGCCAGUAUUCUGGCGGGCAUGCCUGUUCGAGCGUCAUUUCAACCAUCAAGCCCCCGGCUUGUGUUGGGGACCUGCGGCUGCCCGCAGGCCCUGAAAAACAGUGGCGGGCUCGCUGUCACACCUAGCGUAGUAGCAUACAUUCUCGCUCAGGGCGUGCUGCGGGUUCCGGCCGUUAAACGACCUUCAUAACCCAAGGUUGACCUCGGAUCAGGUAGGAAGACCCGCUGAACUUAAGC
This 305-nucleotide unclassified non-coding RNA is filed under the name plant metagenome. Its description in RNAcentral is "partial contains 5.8S ribosomal RNA, internal transcribed spacer 2, and large subunit ribosomal RNA". The stretch from base 1 to 105 matches the Rfam family "5.8S ribosomal RNA", at positions 50 to 154 of the family's 154-position model. The record is from RNAcentral.